RNAcentral lists this small RNA (145 nucleotides) under Arabidopsis thaliana (thale cress). RNAcentral describes it as "ATSL110680". The record is from RNAcentral. Lineage: Eukaryota; Viridiplantae; Streptophyta; Magnoliopsida; Brassicales; Brassicaceae.
AGAUGUUAAUUUUGAUUUUUUGCUACAUGUAUAGCAGAUAGCCCUUUAAUUAGAAGUCUAUCUCUACUACAUACUGAAGUAUGAAGUUUAUGAUUGGUGUCGACAAUCAAGAUGUUUAGUGACCCCCAAAAAUAAUUAUAUAAAA